GUAAAAGUAGUGUAAGGGUUCUCAUGGGCAUCUAGUUCACCACAGCAAGAACAGGAUGCUGAGCUAUAUGGGCCACUGGACUGAUCCAUAAAGUUCUUACGUUCCUGUGCUCCCCUCACACAAUUGUUAAUAGCUUGGAAGCCAUCACCUGGAGUCUGCAACAUCCCCACAUGCAGACAAGCCAACAAAUUCUCAGAAGAAGAACAAAUAUCAUCAAAAAAAUAUGUCCAUACAAAUAAAUUACAGAGGGGCCUUCCUUACUAGUACCGAUUCCAUUACUCAUGCUACUUUGCUCAGCAAUUUUAAGUCCUCAUCUGGAUACUUUGUUCAGGCCUGGGCCUCCCAUUUGAACUUUGAAAGGGUUAAGAGAAAAGAAAACUUACAAAAAUGACGAGAUUUUGAAGAGAAAGACUGAGGGAACUCAGGAUAUUUACCUCAUAGGAAAUAAACAGAUGGGAGUUGUGAGUGGAGAGAGGAAAGGCACAUCGGCAAUUCCCCAAAUUUUGGAAAUGCUAUUAGAAAGCAAAUGGAGAGGAAAACAUUCAUUUAUACAGGACAGCUCCAUGUGAGAUUAUAUUUGUGUGUAUUGUUCAGCUGAAUGGAUCUUACACCCAAAUAAAUAUGCAUAUGUGUCUACUCAGAGGUAAGGCUCAUUGAGUUCAAUGGAGCAUAGUGCCGGGCAAAUGAGUAUCAUAUAGAAUUGCAGCCUAAAAUACUCAGUUAAAAAUCAUUAAGGGUGUUAAACUAUUUCUAAACCUCAUUUAGAAGUAGUAAAAUGGAAUUACAGUGGUGCCUCGCAAGACGAAAUUAAUCCGUUCCGCGAGUCUCUUCGUCUAGCGGUUUUUUCGUCUUGCGAAGCAACCCUAUUAGCGGCUUAGCGGAUUAGCGCUAUUAGCGGUUUAGCGGCUAUUAAAGGCUUAGCGGUUUAGCGGCUAAAAGGCUAUUAGCGGCUUAGCAGCUUAGAAAAAGGGGGGGAGCGAAAAAAAUCUCAAGACUCGAAAGACAUUUUCGUCUUGCGAAGCAAGCCCAUAGGGAAAUUCGUCCUGCAAAGUGCAUCGAAAAACGGAAAACCCUUUCGUCUAGCGGGUUUUUUGUCUUGCGAGGCAUUCGUCUUGCGGGGCACCACUGUAUAAUGCUUAGCUCUCAACUUUACACUAGGGUUGCCAUAUUUCAAAAAGCUGUGUGUGUGUGUGUGUGUGUGUUGUUGCACCUGUGCAAUAAGGCAGCUUGCCUUCUCAUUUGUGCCAAAAGUUGCCCUUUGCUGUUGAAAACCAAACACCAUAACCAACUUUGAUACUACAGCUUUGUAAAUACAGAAUACCUAUUAACUCUUUUUCAUGUGCCCUUUCAAAAUAAGUUUAUAAAAUAUAUGUUGUUGAUGGAAACUGUUAGGGCACAUCCUGCCAAUUUGAUAUUGUGAGCGGGCUUUCUGGGUUAGCAUUGCCCCCAAAUCUCUCGAAUCUUAAAUGCAGAGAGUAGUACUUGAGAAUAUUUUGCCCCUGUUUGUAGGGCAGUCCUUUUCCAUCUCUCAGGUGACCGACUGCCUUGCUUGGAAGCUACCAGGACACUGAGCUGCAAGCCCCAAAGGAACAGCAGACAAACAGAGUCAGGUCAGUUUUCUUGUUUCAAGUCACUUUUUCUUUGACAUCCAACCCCUCUCAUGUUCUUUCCCUUUUUCUCUCUUUUUACAGCUUCUCAGCUGCCUUUUGACUUUCUCUUCUGUUCUUCUGUAUACCUGAGCCUCUUUCCCAGUCUCCUUGUCUGUCUUCACCUUCCAAGGUGCAGAACUGGUGUUUCGUAGCAAUCUCUUUUUCCCAAAAGUAAACCUCUUAGAAUUCGUGGUGGAGCUGAGAAAAAUAG
Molecule: non-coding RNA, 1860 nt
Organism: Podarcis lilfordi (Lilford's wall lizard)
Lineage: Eukaryota; Metazoa; Chordata; Lepidosauria; Squamata; Lacertidae
Source: the annotation of a GenBank genome assembly